Cricetulus griseus (Chinese hamster) is the source of this 2417-nucleotide non-coding RNA. The record is from RefSeq and is a predicted model, not a curated record. NCBI's taxonomy places the organism in Eukaryota, Metazoa, Chordata, Mammalia, Rodentia, Cricetidae.
CAGGCUCCAGAACCAGUGGGGGAGGAAGGAAGGAAGCAGCCAAGAUCCGGCCACAACAGCUUCUCCGGCUAUUUUUCUUUAUGGGUCAAGGCCCCUGAAAACCUGUACUAGGUCAGGCCUGCUUGUCCAGUGGCUCAGAUUUAAAGGACAUCUAGUUCUCUCUGAUUUUGGCCUCAAUAUGGCAGGAACCCUGCCAACGCUGGCCUUCCUGAGACAUUCCACUGGUUCUCCCCUACUCCUGGAUCACUGAGGGUGAUGGACGAUAACCAUCCUUUGGGGAGAUACAAGCCCACUUUGAUCAGGUACAAGCAAAUUGUAGCAUAACACCUUUGCUGGAUCCGUAUCAAGAAAUAGCUAUUGAUUUAAAGAACAAAACAACAAUACUAAGCUAUUCCUUUAACUCCGUGCUGCCUUGCCCACUGAAGGCUGUUGUGUGCUCUCGGGGUCUGUAGAACUGUGUUUUGGAGAAGGUACCAUCUGCUCCUGUGAUUUUACAGCCUCUUUCAGCAAAUGGGGAAAGCAGGUAGGGAAUGCAGAAAUAAAAUUUCUCCAGCUGAAACACUGACACAGCGCAAGCAUGUUCUGAAGAAAUGGCCUUUAUUGAUGUGCCCGGGCUGAAGUGGAACAAUUCCAGGUACGCCUUGUCUUGCCCUCGUGUCUUCCCUCUGGAUAAAAUCCAUAUGAAAAGAGAGCAUUUCCACUGAACUCUGGUUUCCUGGAAUCAUCCUGCAGCCCUUGAUCUUCCAGCUGAGUGAAAUGGAGGAAACUUAGCUCAGCGUGAGCUGCUCGCCAGGCCACUCAUGCUGGGAGUCCGUGAAGAAAAGGUAACACUUUCCUGUGAACGCAUUUAUCCUGUUAUUUGCUCACCUGCACAUUACUUGGGGAAGAUCUAGGAUUCCUAUACACACAUAAAGUGUUCAGAAAAUACAUUUUAAAAAGAAUUCUGUCUCGUCAAAAUGAAUCUCUUUCGAUUAAUUUUUCCCUCCCACAGUGCCCUGAGGUCUUCAAGUCGGUCUUGUUAGGUCUGUAUCAAAUGUUAACUCUCAGAGGAAAAACUUAUCAAGGCUAUCCUCACCACAAAUAUAUAUUUAUGAAUUCUCUUGUUCUCUGGAGCCAAAGCCACUGAGUUUAAACAUUUUUUCAACAAAUUAGCACUAGUGAGUCCUUGUCAGUAAUACUUAAUUUCUUCAGGGUCCAGUGUCCUAACCUACAAAAUGUUAAAUAAGGACGCUCAGCUCAUGGGCAUUUUGAGCACUUUGUUCCUAGCAAUUGCACGUGAGGAUUUAGCAGAUCUUUGAAUCCAUGUUCUGUGGGAUUCCUAUUACCUUGAAACCACUGUUUUAUUGACAAAACAAAGAAUCUUAAAAUUCUACAUGUGAUUUUACUUGUGGUAGAGACUCACAAAAGACGUGAAACACUUUGAGAUGAGGAACCAGAUCACUUUUAGAUAUGCAGUAUACGGAGAGAACAUUAAGAAUCAACUUUCUAGACUUCUGGUUCAUCUUUGUAUCAGGGAACCACUGCCAGGCCUCUCAGGCCUGCAUUCCACUAUGUGUCAAGAAACCCAGAUGAGUAAACUACUCCCUGACCCAGAAAAAAGUGGGAUAUAGUCACACUUGGCCAGCAAGCAAGGACUAUUUGACCUGUGCUGUCUGCCAAGUUGCAGCCUUAUACCAUUGCAGUUUCUCUCCUCCCAAAAUGGCAGGCAGCUUGGGGCACAGGUGCAGAAAAUCAUAUCACACUCAACAACCUCACCUGAUGUAUUUGGAUCUGCUUUCUUCCCGAGGAAUUCUCUGGGAAAGGUGUGGAGGGUGUCGGAGUUCAUCUGAGAACCUUUUGAAGAAGGAUCUCAAACUCAUUCUCGUUUGAACACCUUGUUAUCACCAUAGAGAAUCUUACUGUGUAAACCAUUUCCAGCUGCCUUUGGAGAAAGUACACGGUCCGUCCCGACAACUGUUCAUGGGUUACUGUAGCCUGUUAAUAGGGCUUGGGUUUCAUUACUACAAGAAAGCAACAGAGCCUCCGAGUUCCCCCCAGUUUGUGAAUUCAGUUCCUUUGAAGUCAGCUAAGAUCAUUCCUCCCACUUUUUUCCGUUUGUUUCUUUGCUUCUCUCUGAUCCCCACCCCCACCCCUCUCCCCGAAUCAUUUUUAAACAAUCAGGCACACAAGUGUCACCCUGGUAUCUGAAUUCAGAAUCUGGAAGGAUCUUUAUUCUGGGAAACACGUAGGCUGCGCAUUCCUGAAACGGAAUCAACAAAACCUGUGCGCUCCCAGGUGGGAAGAGGUAAUUGCAGGUGUAAAGCGGCGAUGGAGGGAGAACAGUUUUCUGCAUGUAAUAAGCAAGCUGCAGUCGAAGCUUCGGUGAGGCUCCUUGGACGUCUUUUCACUUGAAUUCAUUUGCAUUUCUUCAGCAUAAG